RNAcentral lists this long non-coding RNA (4578 nucleotides) under Sus scrofa (pig). RNAcentral describes it as "lncRNA (ENSSSCG00015000590.1)". The record is from RNAcentral. Lineage: Eukaryota; Metazoa; Chordata; Mammalia; Artiodactyla; Suidae.
UUUUUUUUUUUUUUAAUGAUUUUUUUUUCCAUUAUAGCUGGUUUACAGUGUUCUUUCAAUUUUCUACUGUAUAGCAAAGUGACCCAGUCACACAAACAAAUAUGUAUUCUUUUUCUCACAUUAUCCUCCACCACGCUUCAUCACAAGUGACUAGAUAUAGUCCCAGUGCUAUACAGCAGGAUCUCAUGGCUUAUCCAUUCCAAAGGCAACAGUUUGCAUCUAUGAACGCCAGAUUCUGAGUCCAUCCCAGUCCCUAUCCCUCCCUCUCAGCAACCACAGGUCAGUUCUCCAAGUCCAUGAGUUUCUUUUCUGUGGAAAGAUUCAUUUGUGCCAUAUAUUAGAUUCCAGAUAUAAGUGAUAUCAUGUGGUAUUCGUCUCUUUCUGACUUCACUUAUAUGAGAGUCUCUAGUUCCAUCCAUGUUGCUGCAAAAGGCAUUAUUUUGUUCUUUUUUAUGUCUGUGUAGUAUUCCAUUGUGUUACAUACACACCUUCUUAAUCCAUUCAUCUGUUGAUGGACAUUUAGGUUGUUUCCAUGCCUUGGCUAUUGUGAAUAGUGCUGCAAUGAACAUACAGGUGCAUGUGUCUUUUUCAAGGAAAGUUUUGUUUGAAUAUAUGCCCCAGAGUGGGACUGAGGCAGCAUAUGGUAGCUGUAUAUUUAGUUUUCUGAGGUACCUCCAUAUCCAUCUAGUUUCAAUGAGAGAUUUCUAUACGCUCUGUGAUCCUCAAUUAUGUGGCCAUUUACUAAUACUGAUUUGAAAAGGUAAUGGAGGCUUUAAAGGAAAUACUCUAUUAAGUCACUGCUAUCAAAGUCAGCAUCUUCCAAGUCGACAGUGUUGCAGAUAUCUUUCAUCCCAUGGUCUGAUGAUCUGGAGCAGAGAUCAUAUGUCCUGAUCAUCAUUAUUUUCCUCAGGGCUGGUAUAACAUCUCCAGGGAGUAGAGCUUCAAUAAAAUGUGUUGGAUAGAUGUGUUGCAAUGUCCCAGCAUUAGAGUUGGGAAAUACAAGCUCCAAUACCCUACAUUUUUCUUAUUUUUCUGAAAAAUCUGAGUCCAGGGGAAAUGAAAAUUUUCUCUAUAGCCACCAAACAAGAUAAUAAUAGAAUACUAAGUAUAAAAAGGAAUGAAAUUUCAAGAAACAGCCCCAUUCGACUAGCUUUUAAAUAUGCCUUUCUUUGAGAAGCCUCUGGAUCAGCCAAGGUUGGGCUGGAAAGCAGCACCUGAGGUGUUUCAAUGACUUUAUUGUUGGGUAUGAAUUUUGCAGGUAAUGGAAAAGCCAAGGAGACUAUUGAGGGGCUGGGGGCAAGAGACUAGGAAAGGCAAGAGCCCUACAGGUAGAAGUCAGCGUUUCUAGAGCCAAGGAGCUGGGCCACUGGGAGGAAGCCAGAGCAGAGGGCUUGCCCAGCAGGACCUGCAGCCAUGCAGGAGACACAGAAGCUCCUGCUGCCAAUGCUGCUCUGGGCAGAGAGAUGAGGGAGAAAGACUGUGUGUCUUCUCAUCUGGCUCUUCAGUUUUCCACCUUGCCUUGUCACUGGUCUCCUUGGAAGCCAGGAGAUGUAGAAGCCUAGGAAAUACUCCUCCCCGAGUUACCACGCAGGGCAGAGAAGGGCAGAAAAUGCAUGUAAAGAAAAGAGGCAAACAACCCAUACACCUGCUCUUAUGCUUUCUGACAGAGUUAGCCUCUCCCUCCUAUGUACCCACACAGCACAUGGGCCAAGAAUUAUUCUAACACCCAUCCUAUUACACGGUUAUGCUUUGCUUUAUUAUAUCUUAUAUUUCCCAGCUCUAAUGCUGGGACAUUGCAAUUUUUGAAUAGAAGAUUUUUGAAUGAAUGGAUAAAUAAAUGGUUGAUUUCAUUCAACUUCAACAAAUAUUUAUGGAGCAUUUACACUGGGCCAUGAUGUUCUCAUUGAUUCCACCUAGGUGAUUUCAUUCACAGAAUGUCCUGAAAGGCUUCUUAUCGCAUGUUCCUCGUCUCAAACUGCCAAUUCUCUGCGAGUCAUGGUUUCCUCUGGGUAGAUGCCCAGAAGUGGGAUCGCUGGAUCAAAUCGUAGACACAUGUACUCCGAUGUUCACGCAGCACUCUUUUCAAUAGCCAAGACAUGGAAACAACCUAAAUGUCCAUUGACAGAGGAGUGGAUCAAGAAGAGGUGGUACAUAUACACAAUAGAAUAUUACUCAGCCAUUAAAAGGAACAAAAUACCAGCAUUUUCAGCAACAUGGAUGGACCUAGAAACUAUCAUGCUAAGUGAAGUCAGCCAUACAAUGAGACACCAACAUCCAAUGCUUUCACUGACAUGUGGAAUCUGAAAAAAAGGACAGAAUGAACUUCUUUGCAGAACAGAUACUGACUCACAGACUCUGAAAAACUUAUGGUCUUCAAAGUUUUGGAGUUGGGGGGGUUGGGGGAUGUGCUUGGGUUGUGGACUGGAAAUCCUAUAAAAUUGGAUUGUGAUGAUCAUUGUACAACUACGGAUGUAAUAAAUUCAUUGAGUAAUAAAAAAAAAACUGUCAAUUCUCACCAACAAGCCAACUGUUGACAUUAAGUCCAAUGUCACACAUCAUGCUCGGUACUGGUAUCGUGUGGCUCUAGGGGUAAAAGCUCAUGGUCCUGACCUCAAGGAGCUUGUACUCUGCCAGGGGCAUGGAAGGACCAUCCAGAGAUCAUUUUGAUGCCUUUCUGGGUUAGAGUUAUACACAGGAUGCUGUGCAGUCAGAGUGGCACUUCACCCAGUCUGGGAAUUCAGGGAAACUUCUGGAAUCUUGAAAGCGGAGUAAGAGUAAAUCAGUAAAGACAGAAAGGGAAUAGCAGGAGCACAGGCAGAGCAGUAAAAUCAGUUUCUACAUGUUGUUGCAUAGGACCAGAGACAAAGCGUGGGCACGGAGGCUACAACGAGUCAUGAAAAGUAUUAUAAACAUUUAGUCUGCAGGCAAUAGGCAGACACUGGUGUCCCGUGACCCACUCUGGCCGCAGCCUGGAAGAGAGAUUUAAAAUAAAACUGGAUGCAGUGAAAAGGUCAUACAGAUCCUACAGAAACCAGAAAACAUCAAAGCCCAUGUAUAAAAAUGCAUUCACAUCAGCAUUGCUUCUAAGCAUGCAAAUCUGAAAAAUACACAGCCACUUUUAAAAGUCUUUGUAUAUCAAAAACUGAUUUCUGGAGUUCCCGCUGUGGUGCAGGGAGUUAAGAAUCCAACUGCAGUGGUUCAGGUCAACCCCUGGCCCAGCACAAUGGGUUCAGGAAGCCAGUGUUGCCACAGCUGACACCUAGGUUGCAGCUGUGGCUCUGAUUCAGCCCCUGGCUUGGGAACUUCCAUAUGCUGUGCGUGUGCCCAUAAAAUUGAAAAAAAAACAAAACAAAACAAAAAAAAAACCUGAUUUUAAUUUCUAAAAUCUUAUAUUGGAAAGUGAUUUUGUCUUUAUGUCUGUGUGCCUGUGUGUACAUGUUCCACACUAUUUUUGUAAGAGAUCCACAAUUAUAAUUAUUCGGCAAGGACAGAUUCAGACUCUACCACGCCCCAGGUGCUGGAUGUGAAAGCCAAGCCCUGGAUUGCAAAGGAGACAGAUAAUCUCCUGGGCACCUCACCAAGCCUGGGGCAGCUCAAGGGUGGAUGUAUCCGCACAGAGACUUCUAACACCCUGUGGUUUUCUCUGGUUAGAGAACUGUAACUAUUUUCUCCUUGAACUUCGUAACAUAUGCCUUCUUAGAGUGUGAGGAUGUGUCUAAUUAUACCUAACAUUCCUUCUCGCAUCACAAUCAUCUCUCGAUGACGUGGUUACUUUCUCCUAAGUGUGUGCGAAUUUCCCAUAUAAUCGGAAGUAUGCUCUUUCCUUAACCCUCGGUAAUAGGAAUUAAUCUCUCGAUGACGUGGUUACUUUCUCCUAAGUGUUUGCGAAUUUCCCAUAUAAUCAGAAGUAUGCUCUUUCCUUAUUUCCAAGUAAUAGGAAUUAAUUUCACUCACAGUUGCACUAUUCUUUCUAUGUACUGGGCUACCCCCUCCACCAAAAAAUAAAUAACAAGAAUUUACUAAAUAUUCUGGAGAUGGCGGCUCUCAUCAAUUUUGUAUCUCUGGCAUCUGCCCCACUACCAUGGCCAGUAAAUGUCCAAUUAAAUAAAGCUGUAUUUUAAAAAUUCAGUUUUUAAGUGAAUAGGCAGACCACCCUCUGUCCAAUCCUUUCAUUUCUCACUUUUGGGCUAAUUUUGUAUUUUCAAACAAUUCUUAUAUCUAUUUUUACUCUCCCCCACCAAGCUGGAUGUGCUGUGCUGCACAUCACAACAAUUUCAGUGUUUUCAUGGUCUGCUGCAGGUUGAAUGCGGUCAUCCCAAAAGAAUACUGAAGUUCUAGAUCCUAGUACCCACGACUGUGGCCUGAUUUAGAAAAAGGGUCUUGGGAUAUCAUCAAGUAAGGAUGAGGACAUUAGAGUGGGCCUAAUCCAACGUUAAGCGGUAACUUUAUAAAAAGGUGAAACUUGGACACAGACACAUUCAACAGGAAGAGUGCCAUGUGAAAAUGAAGUCAGAGAUCCGAGGGACGCUUCUGUAAAUAGCCAAGGAAGAACAGAGAUUGCCAAUAAACCAUAGUAUC